AUUUCACAGCUCUUAAACACACGAGAGGACUGAAACACAUGCAGUACAACACCAACAGAACAAGAAUACAGAUUGAUUUAAUUGGGCCAAACGUGUGUGGAACAAGAUGCUGCUCUGGCUGGAUUGUUCAUCCCAAGACUAAGAAAUGCACAAAAUCAAAGUGUUCUUCUCGUUGUUAUAACAGAUCUGGGUGCAGAAAGCGAAGCACAUGUCUGUGCCAUUUAGGUUUCCGGCAUUGUAAAGAGAACCAAACCAUCUCUUCAUCUGAAAUUACACCC
Long non-coding RNA from Tachysurus vachellii, 278 nucleotides. RefSeq lists it as uncharacterized. The record is from RefSeq and is a predicted model, not a curated record. The transcript has 3 exons. NCBI's taxonomy places the organism in Eukaryota, Metazoa, Chordata, Actinopteri, Siluriformes, Bagridae.